AACGAACGUUGGCGGCAUGGAUUAGGCAUGCAAGUCGAACGAAUCCCGGGGUAGCAAUACCUCGGGGGAAGUGGCGAAAGGGGCAGUAAUACAUGGAUAACCUACCCUGGGGAUGGGCAUAGCCGUUCUAACGAGCGGGUAAUACCCAGCGAUUCGGCGAGUUGGCAUCAAUUUGCCGGGAAAUGAAUUUCGCCUCGGGAGGGGUCCAUGCGAUAUCAGCUAGUUGGUGGGGUAACGGCCCACCAAGGCUUAGACGUCUAGCGGGUGUGAGAGCACGACCCGCGCCACUGGCACUGAGACACUGGCCAGACACCUACGGGUGGCUGCAGUCGAGGAUCUUCGUCAAUGGGCGCAAGCCUGAACGAGCGAUGCCGCGUGAGCGAUGAAGGCCUUCGGGUUGUAAAGCUCAAAAGGGAUGAGAAAGGGAAACUUGAUCGAAUCCCAGUAAGCUCGGGCUAAGUUCGUGCCAGCCGCCGCAGUAAAAC
This 485-nucleotide ribosomal RNA is filed under the name uncultured bacterium. Its description in RNAcentral is "bacterial SSU rRNA". It matches the Rfam family "Bacterial small subunit ribosomal RNA", at positions 29 to 526 of the family's 1533-position model. The record is from RNAcentral.